Molecule: non-coding RNA, 21 nt
Filed under: Caenorhabditis elegans
Lineage: Eukaryota; Metazoa; Nematoda; Chromadorea; Rhabditida; Rhabditidae
Source: RNAcentral
UAAAACUCAAAAAGCAAGCUC